Molecule: ribosomal RNA, 523 nt
Filed under: uncultured soil bacterium
Lineage: Bacteria
Description: bacterial SSU rRNA
Rfam family: Bacterial small subunit ribosomal RNA
Source: RNAcentral
AGGACGAACGCUGGCGGCGUGCCUAACACAUGCAAGUCGUACGAGGGCGACCCUUCGGGGUCGACCCGAGUGGCGGACGGGUGAGUAACACGUGACUAAUCUGCCUUCGAGAGGGGGAUAACCUGGGGAAACUCGGGCUAAUACCGCAUGACGUGUCGUGCUCGCAUGGGCGUGACAUCAAAGGGAGGCCUCUACUUGUAAGCUUCCGCUCGAAGAGGAGGUCGCGGCGUAUCAGCUAGUUGGUAGGGUAACGGCCUACCAAGGCGACGACGCGUAGCGGGUCUGAGAGGACGACCCGUCACAUUGGGACUGAGAUACGGCCCAGACUCCUACGGGAGGCAGCAGUGGGGAAUAUUGCGCAAUGGCCGAAAGGCUGACGCAGCGACGCCGCGUGUGGGAGGAAGCCCUUCGGGUGUAAACCACUGGUCGGGGGGACGAACCGUCGGACGGCGAAACCAGCCCGGACGGCUGACGGUACCCCCCGAGAGGAAGACGACCGGCAACUCCGUGCCAGCACGCCGAC